This 253-nucleotide ribosomal RNA is filed under the name uncultured bacterium. RNAcentral describes it as "partial 16S ribosomal RNA". It matches the Rfam family "Bacterial small subunit ribosomal RNA", at positions 524 to 776 of the family's 1533-position model. The record is from RNAcentral.
UACGUAGGUGACCAGCGUUGUCCGGAUUUACUGGGCGUAAAGCGCACGUAGGCGGCUUUGUAAGUUAGAGGUGAAAGCCCGGGGCUCAACUCCGGAACUGCCUUUAAGACUGCAUCGCUUGAGUCCAGGAGAGGUGAGUGGAAUUCCGAGUGUAGAGGUGAAAUUCGUAGAUAUUCGGAAGAACACCAGUGGCGAAGGCGGCUCACUGGACUGGUAUUGACGCUGAGGUGCGAAAGCGUGGGGAGCAAACAGG